AUAAUUUUAUAUUAUUUUUCAUAGCUGCACAGAAUGGAACUUCUUUUUUUCAUGGACUCCUGACAGUGACGCCAUGCCCCUGGACCUCAUCAUCCAUCUGCCGCCAUCUGUUGGUUUGUUGUUGUUGGCAAUUGCUUGGAUUAACUGUGAGGAAAUAUCCAUAUGUUCCUGUGGUCAUUAAGACAGGUUCUUCCACUCUGAAAAAUUUCCAUACUGUUCUAACACCAAGAGCCACUCUCGGUGUAGCUGGAAGAGGUUUGAAAGCAGCUGGAUAAGAUAUCUGAGGAUCUGUGCCAGUCCACUGAGGCAAGGUAAGUGAG
RNAcentral lists this long non-coding RNA (320 nucleotides) under Neogale vison (American mink). Its description in RNAcentral is "Neovison vison (American mink) lncRNA (ENSNVIG00000014457.1)". Lineage: Eukaryota; Metazoa; Chordata; Mammalia; Carnivora; Mustelidae. The record is from RNAcentral.